GCGUUCUUAGCUCAGUUGGUAGAGCAGGUGACUCUUAAUCACCGGGUCGGGGGUUCGAGUCCCUCAGGACGCAC
RNAcentral lists this transfer RNA (74 nucleotides) under uncultured Actinomycetes bacterium. Its description in RNAcentral is "uncultured actinobacterium tRNA-Lys". It matches the Rfam family "tRNA". Rfam says of the family: Transfer RNA (tRNA) molecules are approximately 80 nucleotides in length. Their secondary structure includes four short double-helical elements and three loops (D, anti-codon, and T loops). Further hydrogen bonds mediate the characteristic L-shaped molecular structure. tRNAs have two regions of fundamental functional importance: the anti-codon, which is responsible for specific mRNA codon recognition, and the 3' end, to which the tRNAs corresponding amino acid is attached (by aminoacyl-tRNA synthetases). tRNAs cope with the degeneracy of the genetic code in two manners: having more than one tRNA (with a specific anti-codon) for a particular amino acid; and 'wobble' base-pairing, i.e. permitting non-standard base-pairing at the 3rd anti-codon position. Lineage: Bacteria; Bacillati; Actinomycetota; Actinomycetes. The record is from RNAcentral. RNAcentral also lists the same sequence under 1 other name.